Molecule: ribosomal RNA, 195 nt
Filed under: uncultured Acidobacteriota bacterium
Lineage: Bacteria; Pseudomonadati; Acidobacteriota
Description: uncultured Acidobacteria bacterium partial 16S ribosomal RNA
Rfam family: Bacterial small subunit ribosomal RNA
Source: RNAcentral
UCCUACGGGAGGCAGCAGUGGGGAAUUUUGGACAAUGGGCGCAAGCCUGAUCCAGCAAUGCCGCGUGCAGGAAGAAGGCCUUCGGGUUGUAAACUGCUUUUGUACGGAACGAAACGGUCUGGGUUAAUACCCUGGGCUAAUGACGGUACCGUAAGAAUAAGCACCGGCUAACUACGUGCCAGCAGCCGCGGUAAU